Molecule: long non-coding RNA, 681 nt
Organism: Ostrea edulis (European flat oyster)
Lineage: Eukaryota; Metazoa; Mollusca; Bivalvia; Ostreida; Ostreidae
Exons: 3
Source: RefSeq, a predicted model, not a curated record
UUGUCGACCUUGAACCGAAAAGUAAUUUUCAGUGUUAGAUACAAGGAAUCGAAAAAUCAAACCUGUAGUGUAUUCAAUAAAGAUAAGGAUUUGGGAGUGUGAUUCAGAGUUCAGAUUUAAAUCCAAUACCAAGCUGCAGGGAAAAAGAAGAAAAAAAACCAACCCUGUGCACACAUUACGCAUUUGAACGCGAUAACAGUGCAUUUGAGCACUGUCUUGUAAACAAACCAGAUAUAAGUAAGUAAUGUUGAUUGAAAUUGCAUCCUCUCUCUCUCUCUCUCUCUCUCUCUCUCUCUCUCUCUCCAUUGCUUGGAAUGACAUCCUGUAUUAAAACUAUUAGUUUUCAAGAUUACGGGUUAAAGUCAAGUUUACUGUUAUGGAAUUUUAAAAUUUCUUGUGUAAAAUAUUGGAGCUACAUCAUGGUGCUAUUCUUGUUUUCAUAUGAAUUGUGAAAGUUCGAGGUCACUGGAAGGGAAACAUGUUGUGUAAGCAGGAGCGGAUCCAGGAAAUCCAAACUGAAGUAAAUGAAGUGUUUGGCAUGCAUAUACCAUUUAGAAACCUAAACAAAGUUCUGGUCGUGAACUACUCCAUUGCUCAAUAUCUUACUCACUGUACAUUAUCACCGUGGACCAUCGUGACCACGGUGAAAAGAUUCAGUAACGCAGGGUUUCUAAUAUGUAA